Molecule: ribosomal RNA, 468 nt
Filed under: uncultured bacterium
Lineage: Bacteria
Description: partial 16S ribosomal RNA
Rfam family: Bacterial small subunit ribosomal RNA
Source: RNAcentral
GACGAACGCUGGCGGCGUGCUUAACACAUGCAAGUCGAACGGAAAGACCCUGCUUUUGUGGGUUGCUCGAGUGGCGAACGGGUGAGUAACACGUGAGUAACCUGCCCUUGACUUUGGGAUAACUUCUGGAAACUGGGGCUAAUACCGGAUAGGAGCUCCUGCUGCAUGUUGUUGGUUGGAAAAUUUCGGCUGUUGUGGAUGGAAUCGCGGCUUAUGAGCUUGUUGGUGGGGUAGUUGCUUACCAAGGCUUUGACGGGUAGCCGGCCUGAGAGGGUGACCGGGCACAAGGGGACUGAGGGACGGCCCAGACGGCUACGGGAGGCAGCAGUGGGGAAUAUUGCACAAUGGGCGGAAGUCUGAUGCAGAAACGCCGCGUGCGGGAUGACGGCCUUCGGGGUGUAAACCGCUGUCGCCGGUGACGAAGCGUGAGUGACGGUAAUGGGUAAAGAAGCACCGGCUAACUACGUG